GACGAACGCUGGCGGCGUGCUUAACACAUGCAAGUCGAACGGAAAGGCCCUGCUUUUGUGGGGUGCUCGAGUGGCGAACGGGUGAGUAACACGUGAGUAACCUGCCCUUGACUUUGGGAUAACUUCAGGAAACUGGGGCUAAUACCGGAUAGGAGCUCCUGCUGCAUGGUGGGGGUUGGAAAGUUUCGGCGGUUGGGGAUGGACUCGCGGCUUAUCAGCUUGUUGGUGGGGUAGUGGCUUACCAAGGCUUUGACGGGUAGCCGGCCUGAGAGGGUGACCGGCCACAUUGGGACUGGGAUACGGCCCAGACGCCUACGGAGGCAGCAGUGGGGAAUAUUGCACAAUGGGCGGAAGCCUGAUGCAGCAACGCCGCAUGCGGGAUGACGGCCUUCGGGUUGUAAACCGCUUUCGCCUGUGACGAAGCGUGAGUGACGGUAAUGGGUAAAGAAGCACCGGCUAACUACGU
This 466-nucleotide ribosomal RNA is filed under the name uncultured bacterium. RNAcentral describes it as "partial 16S ribosomal RNA". It matches the Rfam family "Bacterial small subunit ribosomal RNA", at positions 28 to 506 of the family's 1533-position model. The record is from RNAcentral.